GAUGAACGCUGGCGGCGUGCCUAAUACAUGCAAGUCGAGCGAAUGGAUUAAGAGCUUGCUCUUAUGAAGUUAGCGGCGGACGGGUGAGUAACACGUGGGUAACCUGCCCAUAAGACUGGGAUAACUCCGGGAAACCGGGGCUAAUACCGGAUAACAUUUUGAACCGCAUGGUUCGAAAUUGAAAGGCGGCUUCGGCUGUCACUUAUGGAUGGACCCGCGUCGCAUUAGCUAGUUGGUGAGGUAACGGCUCACCAAGGCAACGAUGCGUAGCCGGCCUGGAAGGGGGAUCGGCCACGCUGGGACUGAGCCACGGCCCAGACUCCUACGGGAGGCAGCAGUAGGGAAUCUUCCGCAAUGGACGAAAGUCUGACGGAGCAACGCCGCGUGAGUGAUGAAGGCUUUCGGGUCGUAAAACUCUGUUGUUAGGGAAGAACAAGUGCUAGUUGAAUAAGCUGGCACCUUGACGGUACCUAACCAGAAAGCCACGGCUAACUACGUGCCAGCAGCCGCCGUAA
This 515-nucleotide ribosomal RNA is filed under the name uncultured bacterium. Its description in RNAcentral is "partial 16S ribosomal RNA". It matches the Rfam family "Bacterial small subunit ribosomal RNA", at positions 28 to 523 of the family's 1533-position model. The record is from RNAcentral.